GAGAGUGUGACCUAUCCAGAUGACUUUUCCUGUGCCUGUUGGACAUUUAUUUUCUGGUUUAGGAACCCAAUUUGAGGGAGACAUGAUUCUACCUGGAGUCUUACAGAAGGGGACACAUCCCUCAAGGAGCUCCAUGAGCUUGUCCUCCAUAUCCUUGGGAAGAAGGGCUGCUCCACACAGUUGCUGUGGCCAGGAAGUGACUGCCUGGGCAUGUGGCCAAAUUGCUGUCUCGGCCCUGUGACUGUGAGUCCUCGCGAGUUCCAGCGUUCAUCUUUUAAGAGAAAAAGAUUUUUUUUCCUAUUCUCAAAGAAAUACA
This is a long non-coding RNA of Fukomys damarensis (Damara mole-rat), 316 nucleotides long. RefSeq lists it as uncharacterized. Lineage: Eukaryota; Metazoa; Chordata; Mammalia; Rodentia; Bathyergidae. The transcript is spliced from 3 exons. The record is from RefSeq and is a predicted model, not a curated record.